UAUAGGAUUAUAACGGAGCUGA
RNAcentral lists this microRNA (22 nucleotides) under Macaca mulatta (Rhesus monkey). RNAcentral's name for it is "mml-miR-7187-3p". Lineage: Eukaryota; Metazoa; Chordata; Mammalia; Primates; Cercopithecidae. The record is from miRBase by way of RNAcentral.